GAGUUUGAUCCUGGCUCAGAACGAACGCCGGCGGCAGGCCUAAUACAUGCAAGUCGAGCGCGCCCUUCGGGGUGAGCGGCGGACGGGUGAGUAACGCGUGGGAAUAUGCCCUUCUCUAAGGAAUAGCCUCUGGAAACGGAGAGUAAUACCUUAUACGCCCUUCGGGGGAAAGAUUUAUCGGAGAAGGAUUAGCCCGCGUUAGAUUAGGUAGUUGGUGGGGUAAUGGCCUACCAAGCCUACGAUCUAUAGCUGGUUUGAGAGGAUGAUCAGCCACACUGGGACUGAGACACGGCCCAGACUCCUACGGGAGGCAGCAGUAGGGAAUCUUAGACAAUGGGGGCAACCCUGAUCUAGUCAUGCCGCGUGUGUGAUGAAGGCCCUGGGGUCGUAAAGCACUUUCGCCAGAGAUGAUAAUGACAGUAUCUGGUAAAGAAACCCCGGCUAACUCCGUGCCAGCAGCCGCGGUAAUACGGAGGGGGUUAGCGUUGUUCGGAAUUACUGGGCGUAAAGCGCACGUAGGCGGAUUAGUAAGUUAGAGGUGAAAUCCCAGGGCUCAACCCUGGAACUGCCUUUAAUACUGCUAGUCUUGAGUUCGAGAGAGGUAAGUGGAAUUCCGAGUGUAGAGGUGAAAUUCGUAGAUAUUCGGAGGAACACCAGUGGCGAAGGCGGCUUACUGGCUCGAUACUGACGCUGAGGUGCGAAAGUGUGGGGAGCAAACAGGAUUAGAUACCCUGGUAGUCCACACCGUAAACGAUGAAUGCCAGACGUCAGCAAGUAUACUUGUUGGUGUCACACCUAACGGAUUAAGCAUUCCGCCUGGGGAGUACGGUCGCAAGAUUAAAACUCAAAGGAAUUGACGG
Molecule: ribosomal RNA, 860 nt
Filed under: uncultured bacterium
Lineage: Bacteria
Description: bacterial SSU rRNA
Rfam family: Bacterial small subunit ribosomal RNA
Source: RNAcentral